GUGUCAGCAGCCGCGGUAAAACGUAGGACACGAGCGUUAUCCGGAGUUACUGGGCGUAAAGGGCGGGUAGGUGGUGCGAUAAGACUGGUGUGAAAGCCUUCGGCUUAACCGAGGGAGGACACUGGUGACUGUCGGACUUGAGGCAGAUAGAGGGGUGUAGAAUUCCGGGUGUAGUGGUGAAAUGCGUAGAGAUCCGGAGGAAUACCAGAGGCGAAGGCGGCACCCUGGGUCUGACCUGACACUGAUCCGCGACAGCAUGGGGAGCGAACGGGAUUAGAAACCCCAGUAGUCC
RNAcentral lists this ribosomal RNA (292 nucleotides) under uncultured bacterium. RNAcentral's name for it is "partial 16S ribosomal RNA". It matches the Rfam family "Bacterial small subunit ribosomal RNA", at positions 505 to 796 of the family's 1533-position model. The record is from RNAcentral.